CUUUCUGAAUUUAAGUUACAUGGGCUACUUCUAUAUCUAAAUACGUUUAAGGACAUAAUAAACAGAAUUAGAUACGUUUUAAUGCAGCUGGCAUAUUUGUUACAAACAAGAAUAUCUGCCUUUGAAAGCACAGUCUGACCUUACACAGUCAGUCAUGAAAAACCAUAUACAAUUUAUUUUUAUGUCAUUGAUUAGUUUGGCAACAGCAUUCUAAAGAUUGUUGUUCUAUAGGUAUAUUAAUUUGUCAGCAUGUGUUUGUUUUGUAUAAACUAGUGUUAUUGUUAGCGGUUUUAUGCCAGAAAAAUUUCAUCUUGUCACUGUUUUGCUAGCAAACUUUGCUUAUUGCCUUGCCACAUUGUUAAUUCUUUUGCUGUUUUCUUAUUCUUGCUACUAAGUUAAAACGACAAAUAUUUUGUCUGUUUAAAUAAUUCUGCUGUUUAAGAUGUCCAAUACCUUUUCCAUACUACUACAGGGUUGGUUAAUGACCUUAAUUACCAAUGAGGGUUUAGGAAUAAUGAGUGGACGCCCUCAUUUAAAAUCUGGGAAACAUGACCUCAUGAUCUCAGUGAUUAGAAAUCACAGCCACAAAUUUUUGUUAGAAACCAUAUAUUCAGUCUGAAACAAACAGAAGAAAUAAAAAUGAAGCUACUGAAUCUUGAAUAACUUAACAUUUGAAAUAUCUAAGUCUUUUACCAUUAGUUCUGUAAACCUUAUCAAUGGAACUAGAUCAUACAUGAUUUAAAAAUUACUUAAUAUAGACAUCUGGAAGUGUCAUAAGUUUCACUGUACUUGGCUAUUGAAUCCAUCAGACAUUCAUAUAAUGCAUUUAUAAGGAUAAAAAUCAAGAGUUAUUUUUUUCUGAUUAAAGGGAGAUAACCCAAUUUGAAAUAUUACCCAUCUCCCAAUGUGAAAUGUAUUUUUUAUUGAUGUUUCUAUUUUCUUAUUCACAGAAGUAACAAUCAGGACAUUAAUUGACCUUUAACUAAUGUAUUCAAUAAUGUUAAUUUGUUUAUAGUUGAGAUAGUAUUAAGAUGAACUCCUGUUGUUUUAAACAUGGAUAUAGUUUCUUGUUGUUGGACAAUGAUAAUUUUGAUAUUUUGUUAAUUUGUAAACCAUUAGCAAUACCAAACGUAUUACAUUGUAUUACUACUCAAUAAUUUUACAGAUUAGUUUUUAUCAAGAUUUUCUCAGAUAUGUAUUGUUCUAUCAAAACCAUUAUCAUGUUUAUGUUUGCUUUUGAAUUGUUCAAGUAUAUUGUUAAAACUUUCUGUUUUAUAAAAAAAGUUAAAAAUUAAACUUGCUAUAAUAUACAAUUUUCCACCAUCCAGUCAAGACUUUUUGUAAAUUGUGUACCUUGAAAAGGGCACGAGCAUUUGAUGCAAGUUGAAAAUAAUAUAUAUUUAUGAUUUUAUUGUGAUUUUUAAGACAAAAAUUAUAGUGUUAUGGAUCAUCAUUCAGCAUUCGUUUUACAACAAUUGUUGUGCUUGUACACUCUAAAUGUUUUUUUUAUUAGUAAAUAAAUGAAAGAACA
RNAcentral lists this long non-coding RNA (1531 nucleotides) under Mytilus galloprovincialis (Mediterranean mussel). Lineage: Eukaryota; Metazoa; Mollusca; Bivalvia; Mytilida; Mytilidae. The record is from RNAcentral.